RNAcentral lists this long non-coding RNA (255 nucleotides) under Sinocyclocheilus grahami. RNAcentral's name for it is "lncRNA (ENSSGRG00000002449.1)". Lineage: Eukaryota; Metazoa; Chordata; Actinopteri; Cypriniformes; Cyprinidae. The record is from RNAcentral.
GAAAUGUUUAACCUCCACUGAGUCAAAGACAAAAGCUUGAUCUAAUCCUGCUGUGAAGGGCGGGACGCUCGGCCGGGACGCUCGGCCGGGACGCUAGAGCUGGAGCUCAGUCGCUCCUGACACUGUUGAGGAACAAACCGUGGUUUGACGCUCUGCUCAUCUGGACGCUGACGGAACAGAAGCAGAUCUUCUCUGGUGAGCAUCUGCUGCUUUAUUACUGUGAUCAUCUGAGUUCAUGUGAGGUUUCUCUGUUGU